Ictalurus punctatus (channel catfish) is the source of this 5579-nucleotide RNA transcript. It is a transcript of the gene named potassium sodium-activated channel subfamily T member 1b, with no coding region annotated. The record is from RefSeq and is a predicted model, not a curated record. The transcript has 33 exons. Lineage: Eukaryota; Metazoa; Chordata; Actinopteri; Siluriformes; Ictaluridae.
CUAUCCUAACACUAGAUAGGGCACUUAUAAAGGGACGAGGCAGUCGUUUGGGUUUCAGCCAGCGUCUUUUUACCGCACCGAGAGGACGCUGAAGGAAGACCUUGCGCUUUUGCGUUUUUCCCCCUCUAUCUUUACAUUUUUCUAUUUUAUUUUAUUUAUUUAUUUAUUUUUUUUAAAUGAACAGCGACAGAUCCUCAGGUAUAUUUGUCGUACUGGACUCAUAUGAGGAAAACUUCUUCCAAAGCAGAAUUCAAAGCAAAGGAUCUAUAUGUAUUUUUUUUGGAUCGAAUCCCACAGGAGGAGUUGAUUUCCAGUUCAAGUCCACUUAGGCUACAUGUUAGUGCCCUGAAUGACUGUGUGAUGUGUAAACCUUCAAAGCCAUACAGUGACAGAUGGGAGAAAUGAAGGAAGACGUUUCAGCCGGUAAUGAUGAGCAGCUCGUCUUCACACCACUAGGGUUCGAGAGAAGAUGCUGGAUGCUGUAUUAGACCCGGUGGGCUUGUGUAGCUUCUCCACUCGGGGUCGUCACCCACCCGUUUCAUGCAUUCACUCCGACAUCGAGCCACAGAGAGGACAUUACGAUAGGAAGUCCUGUGUGGACUCUUAAAGCUGCGGAUUUGGAGGAAAAUGUGUGGUGCUGUAUCCGCCACCAGGACGCUUCUUUACAAUGAUGGGACCGCGCACUCAGCCACAGCCAGAGGCGAGUAUGACUCCACCACAGCGCCCAUCCAACCCUGGUGACAGGCCGCCUGCUGAAACGGUUAAAAAGACCAGCAUCGGAAACACUGGACUGAUUCUGGACAGCUCGGCGCUGAAGAUGGCCGAUGUGGACUCGGAGGUUCCUCCUCUCCCACCGCGCUACCGCUUCAGAGACCUGCUUUUGGGGGAUCAGUCGUUUCAGAAUGACGACAGGGUGCAGGUGGAGUUCUAUGUGAAUGAGAACACAUUUAAAGAGCGGUUGAAGCUCUUCUUCAUCAAAAACCAAAGGUCAAGCCUCAGAAUACGCCUUUUCAACCUCUCGCUGAAGUUGUUAACGUGUCUCCUCUACAUCCUCCGAGUAUCACUGGAUGACCCCACCACCCAAGUCACAUGUGAACGGAAGCACUGCUCCAAUGUCACUGAUGCUCUGUGCAGUAAAAUCUGUUCCAAUCAGACGACAGAUCCCAUCCAGAUCAACUGGGAGUUGAUAUUCUGGGUGACCAGAAGGACUCCUGUAUGGGCUAUACAGGUGACAGUGGCCUUAAUUAGCUUCCUAGAAGCCAUGCUCUUGACAUAUCUCAGUUACAAGGGAAACAUUUUUGAGCAGAUUUUCCAAAUUUCCUUCAUCCUUGAGAUGAUCAAUACAGUGCCAUUCAUAAUUACGAUCUUUUGGCCCUCAUGGAGGAACAUAUUUGUCCCAGUAUUCCUGAACUGCUGGCUUGCCAAGUCGGCACUGGAGAACAUGAUCAAUGAUCUUCACCGUGCCAUCCAGCGCACACACUCUGCCAUGUUUAACCAGGUGCUCAUCCUCAUCUGCACGCUGCUUUGCCUGGUCUUCACCGGAGCCUGUGGGAUUCAACACCUAGAGCGAGCAGGGAAGAAUCUUUCCCUGUUUGAUUCGCUCUAUUUCUGCAUCGUCACCUUCUCAACUGUGGGCUAUGGAGACGUCACACCGAAGAUCUGGCCCUCUCAGCUACUGGUGGUCAUAAUGAUAUGUGUGGCUCUUGUAGUACUGCCAUUACAAUUUGAGGAGCUAGCGUACCUGUGGAUGGAGAGGCAGAAAUCAGGCGGUAACUACAGCAGACAUCGAGCUCAGACUGAAAAACAUGUGGUGCUUUGUGUCAGUUCACUCAAAAUCGACCUCCUCAUGGACUUCCUCAAUGAGUUUUAUGCGCAUCCCAGACUACAGGAUUACUACGUGGUCAUCCUCUGCCCCACAGAGAUAGACAUCCAAGUGAGGCGAGUGCUGCAGAUUCCUCUGUGGUCUCAGAGAGUCAUCUACCUGCAGGGCUCUGCACUGAAGGACCAGGAUCUCAUGAGAGCCAAGAUGGAUGAUGCAGAAGCCUGCUUUAUCCUCAGCAGCAGGAAUGAAGUGGACCGCACUGCAGCUGACCAUCAGACUAUCCUAAGAGCCUGGGCAGUGAAGGACUUCGCCCCAAACUGUCCUCUCUACGUACAGAUCCUUAAACCUGAAAAUAAAUUCCAUGUGAAGUUUGCUGAUCACGUGGUGUGUGAAGAGGAGUUCAAGUAUGCCAUGCUGGCUCUGAACUGUGUGUGUCCAGCCACGUCUACACUGGUUACACUUCUGGUCCAUACUUCACGUGGACAAGAGGGACAGACGUCUCCAGAGCAGUGGCAGAGAACAUACGGACGCUGCUCGGGUAAUGAAGUUUACCACAUCCGCCUCAUGGACAGCAAAUUUUUUGGAGAGUACGAUGGGAAAAGUUUUACUUACGCCUCUUUUCAUGCGCAUAAAAAAUAUGGAGUUUGCCUAAUUGGCGUAAAGAGAGAAGAGAAUAAAAGCAUCCUGCUCAACCCUGGGCCCCGCCACAUCAUGGCCGCCACAGACACCUGCUACUACAUCAACAUCACCAAAGAGGAGAACUCCGCCUUCAUCUUUAAACAGGAAGAGAAGCACAGCAAGGGCCUGCUAGUCAGCGGUCUGUAUGACGCCCCCUCUCGGCUCCCCGUGCAGAGCAUCAUAGCCAGCAUGGGCACUGUGGCCAUAGAUCUGCAGAACCCUGAGCCCGCAGGUGACAGCAGCAAACUGGCACUGCCCACAGAGAACGGAGCAGGCAGCCGGCGGCCCAGCAUCGCCCCUGUACUGGAGCUGGCUGACUCCACUGCCAUCCUGCCCUGUGACCUCCUGAGUGACCCCUCCGAGGACGAGACCAACCAAUCAGACGAGGAAGGAGUGCCUGCCCCAGAAUAUGUCAAAGGAUAUCCUCCAAACUCACCAUACAUCGGGAGUUCACCAACACUGUGCCACCUCCUACAAGAGAAAGCUCCAUUUUGCUGUCUGCGACUAGACAAGGGUUGCCGCCAUAACAGUUUUGAAGACGCCAAGGCAUACGGUUUCAAGAACAAGCUGAUCAUUGUCUCUGCUGAAACGGCUGGAAACGGCUUGUACAAUUUCAUCGUUCCACUGCGUGCUUAUUACAGACCCAGGAAGGAGCUCAACCCCAUCGUGCUGCUAUUAGACAAUCCGCCAGAUAAUCAUUUUCUGGAGGCCAUCUGCUGUUUCCCCAUGGUGUACUUUAUGGCCGGCACCAUAGACAAUUUGGAUAAUCUGCUGCAGUGUGGGAUUAUUUACGCUGAUAACCUAGUAGUGGUGGAUAAGGAAAGCACUAUGAGCGCAGAGGAGGACUACAUGGCUGAUGCUAAAACUAUUGUCAACGUUCAGACCAUGUUUAGGUUGUUUCCAAGUCUCAGUAUUAUCACUGAACUAACUCAUCCCUCUAAUAUGAGGUUCAUGCAGUUUCGAGCCAAAGACUGCUACUCCCUGGCUCUCUCCAAAUUAGAGAAGAUCGAGAGAGAUAAGGGCUCUAAUCUUGCAUUCAUGUUCCGCCUCCCGUUUGCUGCAGGCAGGGUGUUUAGUAUCAGUAUGCUGGAUACACUCCUCUACCAGUCUUUUGUUAAGGACUACAUGAUUCCUAUUGCUAGACUCUUGCUUGGGCUAGACACUACCCCAGGCUCCGGCUACCUCUGUAUGAUGAAGGUAACAGAGGAAGACCUAUGGAUCCGGACAUAUGGAAGGCUUUUUCAGAAGCUCUGUUCCUCCAGCGCUGAAAUCCCCAUCGGCUUGUACCGCACCGAGUCCCACAUGUUCUCAUCGUCAGAGUCUCAGGUGUCUGUAAACGUGGACGAGUGUGAGGACCCACGGGACCGGCGCGAGUCCUGGAAAGAGAAAACGGCCCAUAGGCACUCGACAGGCAGCGACCAAUCAGAACAUCCACUGCUAAGGAAGAAGAGCAUGCAGUGGGCACGGAGGCUAAGCAGGAAGAGCACAAAGCCCCCGAGCCGUGCUGAACGCAUCAACCAACAGCGCCUCAACCUCUACAGACGCUCAGAGAGACAGGAGCUCUCCGAACUGGUGAAGAACCGCAUGAAGCACCUGGGUCUGCCCACCAUCGGCUACGAGGACGUAGCUAAUUUAACUGCGAGUGAUGUGAUGAACCGAGUAAAUCUCGGAUAUUUGCAAGAUGAAAUGAAUGAUCAUCAGAACACACUGUCCUACGUGCUGAUCAACCCUCCUCCAGACACUGUUCUGGAGCUCAAUGAUAUUGUGUAUAUCAUCCGGUCAGACCCGUUGGCCCACGUACCCGACGAGUUGCCCGCGUGCCAGGCAGGCGCCAGGCUGAAGCAGGAAUACGGCACAGAGACACGAGGAGAGACUCAUCUCUGAAAACCAGAGCUCAGCUUGGAGCGCUGCAUGAAGAGUGCCUCCUGUUCCCCAUACACACAGUCACAACCCAUGAAGCACGCUGCCUUCCAAGGAUACGGGGGGGGGGGGGGCGCAGGACGGGGUAACUACACCAUCACCAACAACUUCCCCUGCGUUUACUUUUUCUAUGACAGAAGUGGAAUCUGUGUGCACGUUGCAGCAAAAUGGCUGCUGCACCUUUCGCAGUUUAGACAAGAUUACAAGACGGGGAGAUUUCAUGUUCUGGACCAAACACUGUUCAAACCCUUUUUUCCCCCCUUCUGACAGUGUAUGCUAAAAAAGAAGAAUGCAGUAUUUAGCUGAGUGAAAGGAAGAGAAACAGAUCAUGACUGCCAUUUAAUGAGCUGAGAUUUUAAGAAGACGUUAACAAUCAUGCAUCCUGAAGAUCAAAUGGAUAUCUGUCGAGCCAUAUUUCCCAACCUGUUCAUCUCAGGUGACUGAGGAGAAGCAGUCGAGCUAGCAGAAGGGAGAUUGAUUCAAAGCGAAUAGCAGAACUAUCACCGUAGCCCUCAAAACCUGUUAGCCAUAUCGAGAGAAUCUUUGUGCCAUCAUUUUUGGCCAGUCAUGCUUGUAGUCUGUUUCAAGGCAAGCCAUCGGGUGUUUUUUGAGCGAAGGGUGGAGAAGAGCACAAGCUCGGUUUGUCCGCAUGUUUACACGGUCCUUCACUGUCUGGAAGCCUACAGCAGAUAGUCGAUGCUUCUUAUCCAAUAGGUCCCACCAUGAUCAUGCUCAUGACUACCUUAAAGUUGUUAGAGAAGCGGAUUACCUUAAAGUGGACUGCCCAAUCAAGGUUUAUUUCCUUUUCUUCUUCUUGUCAUUUGUAAAAGCAUAUCGUGCAUGUUGGCAUAAUCUGCAAUCUUCCUUUUGAAAGUUGCACACGCGCCAUUUCUUUACCAAACCACUGAUCACCUUCAGCUAUUUCGAUUUCAAGGUAUGUAGAGUCGUGUGAGCAUUUCAAUAGAGGUAGAAGACAAAUGGACAAUGCAUGUCCUUUUAUUGCCAAACUUACAAGAGACCUAUGUUUACAUUUGCUGGCUCCUGUUUUAUUUGUGUAGAACAGUACAUUGUAAAGGAGAACUGAUCCAUUUUGUACAAUUUCUUAUAUGAAGUCUGUGUACUUCUAACAUGUACGAAUGAUUCAAUAAAUGCUGCAUGC